GAGGUUUUGACUCGGUGGUAGAGUGCUUGCCUAGCAUGUAUGAGACACUGGGUUCGAUUCUCAGAACCACA
Molecule: transfer RNA, 71 nt
Filed under: Ictidomys tridecemlineatus (thirteen-lined ground squirrel)
Lineage: Eukaryota; Metazoa; Chordata; Mammalia; Rodentia; Sciuridae
Description: Spermophilus tridecemlineatus (thirteen-lined ground squirrel) tRNA
Rfam family: tRNA
About the family: Transfer RNA (tRNA) molecules are approximately 80 nucleotides in length. Their secondary structure includes four short double-helical elements and three loops (D, anti-codon, and T loops). Further hydrogen bonds mediate the characteristic L-shaped molecular structure. tRNAs have two regions of fundamental functional importance: the anti-codon, which is responsible for specific mRNA codon recognition, and the 3' end, to which the tRNAs corresponding amino acid is attached (by aminoacyl-tRNA synthetases). tRNAs cope with the degeneracy of the genetic code in two manners: having more than one tRNA (with a specific anti-codon) for a particular amino acid; and 'wobble' base-pairing, i.e. permitting non-standard base-pairing at the 3rd anti-codon position.
Source: Rfam by way of RNAcentral